CCCUUAGAUGUUCUGGGCUGCACGCGCGCUACACUGAUGCGCUCAACGAGUUUACGAACUUGCCCGGAAGGGUUGGUUAAUCUUUUUAAAACGCAUCGUGAUGGGGAUAGAUUAUUGCAAUUAUUAAUCUUCAACGAGGAAUUCCUAGUAAGCGCGAGUCAUCAGCUCGCACUGACUACGUCCCUGCCCUUUGUACACACCGCCCGUCGCUACUACCGAUUGAAUGAUUUAGUGAGGACUUCGGACUGGGACCGAUGCGGCUUUCGGGCUGCGUCGGUAUUCUGGAAAGAUGUCCAAACUGUAUCAUUUAGAGGAAGUAAAAGUCGUAACA
RNAcentral lists this ribosomal RNA (331 nucleotides) under uncultured eukaryote. RNAcentral describes it as "partial 18S ribosomal RNA". It matches the Rfam family "Eukaryotic small subunit ribosomal RNA", at positions 1470 to 1796 of the family's 1831-position model. The record is from RNAcentral.